UCGGUUUCUCUUCUUUUUCUCUUCGUCUUCUCUCCGUCGGGGCCUUCAAUUGUUUGUUCACCCAGUUCCGUUUUGGAUGAUCUAAGGCAGAGUUUGUCGAAAACUGAGUGGGUGGAGGAGAGGUUUAUCUCUCUCUCGAUUCCUCUCCCGAAACGGUUCUCUCCCUCAGUUUAUCUCUCUCUCAAUUCCUCUCUCUGGAUUCCUCUCCCGAAACGGUUCUCUCCCUCAGUUCAACCAUUUCAGCUUAUCUCUCUCUCGAUUCCUCUCCCGAAACGGUUCUCUCCCUCUCGGUCGCUCUGCUCUCCUCCGCGACGUCACCUGCGGUGGCUCUUGUCAGCGACCUCGUUGUCGUCGGCGACCUCGUUGUCGUCGGCGACCUCUCUCUCGUGCUUUCACUGUUCCGGUGAAGUCUUAUACUCAUGAGAUUGUUACGAUUUGGUAUAGAGCUCCUGAGGUUUCGGUUUGUAUUUGCUAAGUAAUGGGUAUUGAGGAGAAACCUCUUAAUCCUCUUGAUUCAAGCGAUGAUGAUUUUGCUCCUUCAUAUCAGUCGAUUUGUCUUGAAAGUCCCUGAAGAAGAUCAACACUCGUUUCAGAGGAUUCUGUUUCUGGUGAAGUAUGCUUACUGGUGAUGGUUGUUGUGUCGCGGACUGAUACUCAGGCAUAUGUCACGGACUGAUACUCAUGCAUAUGUCACUUUGUACGAGUGUGUUCUCACAGGCCACUCUCUUUUUUAUCUCACUUUUACUCUUGUGUAUUAUGUGACUUGUAUACUGUCGGAUAAGCUGGCGGAUAAGCUGGCACGUGGUGCUCGGAAUCUGCCUUCUGCUAUGGUUUAUGUUGAUUCAAUUCCCCCGAGGUGGCUAACGGGUCUGGAAUCUGCUUAAGUUACUAGCCUUUUGUUGUAAAAAAAAAGAAAGAAUCAAACAUUUCUUGUACUCUUGUGCUUUUGAAGUCACAGACUUGUAAAGAAUCAAAGUCGAUUACAUGUAAUGAAUCAAACAUGCUUGUGCCUA
This is a long non-coding RNA of Brassica oleracea var. oleracea, 1013 nucleotides long. RefSeq lists it as uncharacterized. NCBI's taxonomy places the organism in Eukaryota, Viridiplantae, Streptophyta, Magnoliopsida, Brassicales, Brassicaceae. The record is from RefSeq and is a predicted model, not a curated record. The transcript has 4 exons.